AGGAAGGCCAGAUUUGGUCACAGUGAUCUCAGAGGACAGUGCCUGGACACGAUAUUCUGUGUUUGUGCUUGCAAUCUCAGAAACAGCACGAGAUUGUGGAGGCUUCACGAACUCUGAAACUUUGCUCACGAGUUGCAAGCAAAGCUGUGAGUUUUCCAAAGGUUAUUUGGCCAGAAGAGGAUGUCAGCACACAGAAGAAGAGACCACCACUGCUGGCCUUUCCAGUUCCAGCCGGACACCGCGGAGCACUGUUGACAACCGUGCAGGGCUCAUUCUCCUUCACAGAGAGGGGGCCGGGUGCGCCUCCCAGCCCAGGCCCCCAGGAGGCUCUGAGAGGGCAGAGGGGAGGGCCUUCUAAUAAGGCAUAAGCUGCUGGAAAGACAAACUCAAGCGCAAGCUGGGAGGAUCUCACUAGACCUACAAAAGUGGAAGGAAGCUGGCCGGGUGCCUGGCGCUGUGUGACCUACGCAACGAAAGGCAAGCUGAUCUUAGAAUGCUCAAAGAGGAGCAACUCUCCCAUGACCCUGUCCGUUUACACCAGAGAAGAGCAGAUAUGUCAUUCUGCUGCCAGGGCUGAGGAGGGGCAGUUUGCAUCAGGAGCAGACAAGUGGGUGCAACAGACUCUGAUUGCAAAAGUAGAGAAGAUCUCUCUGGAAGGAAACCUCCCAAUGUUUUCACCACGAGCUGUCAUGAAGAGAGACCUUGUGAAGCUCCACUCCAGCUUAGCUGCUUGCAAGGACAUCCCAGUUUCCAGGCACCAAAGUCUGGUAAAGCAGUCACUCAGCCUUCGGCUCCAGGCAGCCCCCUCAGGGAUGUUCUACUUGCUCUUCCACCCUUGGAGGCCGGGCUACCACUGUGUUCCGAAAACUGAUGAGCAUCCAGCGGGCAGCUCGCAGUCAGCUCCCCAGGCUGAUACUGGUUCCCUGACUGACCCUGAGCUAACAUCCAUGCCCAUCUUCCUCUACUUUAUAUGUGGGACGCCUGCCACAGUAUGGCCUGAUAAGUGAUGCACGGGUCCACACAUGGGAUCCGAACUGGUGAACCCUGGGAGGCCAAAGUGGAACGUGUGAACUUAACUGCUACACCAGCGGGCCAGCCCCUAGGGUGAAGCGUGCCCGUGGGAAGACCCUCUACCUCUCCAGACACUUGGAUAAAGCAGUGGUCAAUGAGAGAUGGUGGCUUCCACCCAUUCUCUCAGUGAUGUCUGGGUUCGGAAGGCCUCCAGGUUCAACCAUCUGCAAAGGAACAAAAUGAAAAUUCAUUUUCCACAUGGUGAAAUGAAUGUCAUUCUUAUUUUAGUUUGUCAUAGAAAUCUUCUCUUUACCGCAAGAACUAUUCUUCAACUUAAACUGAAAUUGGAGAAUGCAUAUGGGCUACCUAUAAGUGGUUGAAUGCAAUUUUUUUAGAAUUUUAUGUGCUAUCAAUUAAACAUGUUUUCAUAACUGAGACACAAAUGUGAACAACGUUUUUGUUUUCAUUGUCAAGAUUUUCUAAUGGUGUGAAGGAGAAGGUAGAAAUUGGAGGCAUUCAGGGAAGAAGAUCAGUUGAGAAUUGAUAUUUGAACCUCUCUCUUACUUGUUCUUCAGUAAUAUCUUUGUCCAAAUCCAUAGAACA
This 1614-nucleotide long non-coding RNA is filed under the name Equus caballus (horse). Its description in RNAcentral is "lncRNA (ENSECAG00000038125.3)". Lineage: Eukaryota; Metazoa; Chordata; Mammalia; Perissodactyla; Equidae. The record is from RNAcentral.